This 260-nucleotide ribosomal RNA is filed under the name uncultured bacterium. RNAcentral describes it as "partial 16S ribosomal RNA". It matches the Rfam family "Bacterial small subunit ribosomal RNA", at positions 793 to 1055 of the family's 1533-position model. The record is from RNAcentral.
GUCCACGCCGUAAACGAUGGAUACUAGGUGUAGGGGUCAAAAGGCCUCUGUGCCGGAGCAAACGCAUUAAGUAUCCCGCCUGGGGAGUACGGCCGCAAGGCUGAAACUCAAAGGAAUUGACGGGGGCCCGCACAAGCAGCGGAGCAUGUGGUUUAAUUCGAAGCAACGCGAAGAACCUUACCAAGGCUUGACAUCCUCUGACGAACAUAGAGAUAUGUUUUUCCUACGGGACAGAGAGACAGGUGGUGCAUGGUUGUCGU